Molecule: transfer RNA, 73 nt
Organism: Ipomoea nil (Japanese morning glory)
Lineage: Eukaryota; Viridiplantae; Streptophyta; Magnoliopsida; Solanales; Convolvulaceae
Rfam family: tRNA
About the family: Transfer RNA (tRNA) molecules are approximately 80 nucleotides in length.
Source: Rfam
UUCGUUGUAGUGUAGUCGGUUAGGACAUUUGGCUCUCACCUGAAAGACCCGGGUUCGAUUCCCGGCAGUGGAA